CGCGUAGGCGGUUUAUCAAGUCGCAUGUGAAAUACCAGGGCUCAACCCUGGGAGGUCAUGCGAAACUGAUGGACUUGAGUGCAGUAGAGGAAAGCGGAAUUCCUGGUGUAGCGGUAAAAAUGCGUAGAGAUCAGGAGGAACACCGGUGGCGAAGGCGGCUUUCUGGGCUGUAACUGACGCUGAGGCGCGAAAGCGUGGGGAGCAAACAGGAUUAGAUACCCUGGUAGUCCACGCUGUAAACGAUGAAUACUAGGUGUAGGGGACGCAGGUCUUCUGUGCCGGAGCUAACGCAAUAAGUAUUCCGCCUGGGGAGUACGGCCGCAAGGUUGAA
Molecule: ribosomal RNA, 331 nt
Filed under: uncultured bacterium
Lineage: Bacteria
Description: bacterial SSU rRNA
Rfam family: Bacterial small subunit ribosomal RNA
Source: RNAcentral